GGCUGGUCUGAUGGUAGUGGGUUAUCAGAACUUAUUAACAGUACUGUCACUAAAGUUGGUAUUCAACCCCCCACUGCUAAAUUUGACUGGCUUUAA
Molecule: Y RNA, 96 nt
Filed under: Microcebus murinus (gray mouse lemur)
Lineage: Eukaryota; Metazoa; Chordata; Mammalia; Primates; Cheirogaleidae
Description: Y RNA (ENSMICG00000041927.1)
Rfam family: Y RNA
About the family: Y RNAs are components of the Ro ribonucleoprotein particle (Ro RNP), in association with Ro60 and La proteins. The Y RNAs and Ro60 and La proteins are well conserved, but the function of the Ro RNP is not known. In humans the RNA component can be one of four small RNAs -- hY1, hY3, hY4 and hY5.
Source: Rfam by way of RNAcentral